CCUACGGGUGGCAGCAGUGGGGAAUAUUGGACAAUGGGCGAAAGCCUGAUCCAGCCAUGCCGCGUGUGUGAAGAAGGCCUUCGGGUUGUAAAGCACUUUCAGUGGGGAAGAAAGCCUUGGGGCUAAUACCCUCGAGGAAGGACAUCACCCACAGAAGAAGCACCGGCUAACUCCGUGCCAGCAGCCGCGGUAAUACGGAGGGUGCGAGCGUUAAUCGGAAUUACUGGGCGUAAAGCGCGCGUAGGCGGUCUGAUAAGCCGGUUGUGAAAGCCCCGGGCUCAACCUGGGAACGGCAUCCGGAAAGGGCCGGGUAGAGUGCAGGAGAGGAAGGUAGAAUUCCCGGUGUAGCGGUGAAAUGCGUAGAGAUCGGGAGGAAAACCAGUGGCGAAGGCGGCCUUCUGGACUGACACUGACGCUGAGGUGCGAAAGCGUGGGUAGCAAACAGGAUUAGAUACCCGAGUAGUC
Molecule: ribosomal RNA, 465 nt
Filed under: Vreelandella stevensii
Lineage: Bacteria; Pseudomonadati; Pseudomonadota; Gammaproteobacteria; Oceanospirillales; Halomonadaceae
Description: partial 16S ribosomal RNA
Rfam family: Bacterial small subunit ribosomal RNA
Source: RNAcentral